Molecule: unclassified non-coding RNA, 355 nt
Filed under: soil metagenome
Description: partial contains 5.8S ribosomal RNA, internal transcribed spacer 2, and large subunit ribosomal RNA
Rfam family: 5.8S ribosomal RNA (bases 1-120)
Source: RNAcentral
GAUGAAGAACGUAGCGAAAUGCGAUAAGUAGUGUGAAUUGCAGAAUUCAGUGAAUCAUCGAAUCUUUGAACGCACAUUGCGCCCGCUAGUAUUCUGGCGGGCAUGCCUGUCUGAGCGUCAUUUCAACCCUCGCCCCCGGCUUUUGCUGGGAGCGGUGUUGGGGAUCGGCCGCCCGUCACUGGGAGGCCGGCCCCGAAAUAGAGUGGCGACCACGCCGUGUGCUCCUCUGCGUAGUAGUAAAUCACCUCGCAGGCGGACAGCGGUGCGGCCUGCCGUAAAACCCCCAACUCUUUCUGGUUGACCUCAGAUCAGGUAGGAAUACCCGCUGAACUUAAGCAUAUCAAUAAGCGGAGGA